UGCAUUCAUCCCGUGGGGCCCUGGCCAGCCAGGCAGGUGUGUGUCGUCAGAGGGGAGGGUAUACUGACGGCAGCUGGGGGUUUCGUCCCCAGCCCAUGGGCUCUGCUGGUAGAAACAACACAGAAGCUAUUGAGAAACCCAAGGAGAGCGCAGCCCUGCAGUCAGCCUGGCAAAGCCAUGUGCCUUUCUCAGUGCUAAGGGGGAGGGGGCUCGGGCUAUUUAUUACACACCAGAGACCAGUAAACCACAUACUGAUGAAAAGGCGACAUUUUCUAGCUAACAAAACAGUUCGCGGUACCAAGGGACAGGGAAGUCUUUUUUUUCAGCAAGGUUGACACAGUCAAAGCAGUCGGGGGAAGGACUGUAAUUCCAGGAAACUCAGCUACAAGAAUUUGACAUUUUAACAGGAACCAGCUAGCACUGCAACCUUGAGAGGCGACAGCCUGCUACAGAGAAGAGGAAGAAGCACCAAGACAAAUCCAAAGAAAUGACACUGCCACCACGCUGACUCUUGGUUAGUUGCUAAGUGUUCCCAGAAGCCCGAGUGACCCUAGGAGAUGGUGUAUGUAAUCGUAACGCGAGACCAGCACACAGGGCUGGGAAGAGCAUCAUUUUUCUUCCAUGCCAUCACCUCCAUUUCCCUGCGACAAAGACCAAUGGUGUCCUUGGAUAGAGGAGAAUGGAGGCAGGAUAUAGAAUAAAAAGCCAAGGAACGGUCAAGAAGUUACGUGGGAAAAGCAAUAUGAAAGCCAAAGUUGGAGAAAUUUUACCCUGGACAAAGUCGAGAAGAUUCUUGGAGGGAACAAUGUGACGACCAUUGUGUAUUGUGGCUUUAUGAUUUUAUGUCUUAACCGCGGGGCACUCAGCGUGACAAGACGAAGGCUCCCUCCAAGAGCUAUUGUAGAGCGUUCACCAAGACGUGAGGAGACGCCGCUUGCCCAGGCUGCAAACGCGAGGGCUCUCACCGCCGCGGAAGUCCCCCAGGAUCUCCGAGCUCCACCCACCAUUUCGGUGCAAGGGCACUCGCGACCGCAGGGCUUGGCCGGAGGAGUUUCCGGGCACAUCCCUCCAGUGGCUCUUCUACACCAGCUCGGGUCCCGCCGUCGGGGAGAGGACCCAGCGGGCAAGACCCCUGCCGGUCCCGCGCGCGCUCAAACUCUUGACUUCCUCUCUGCACCCCUGGUCCCUGCCCUGUCCCUCGCCCUUGGGAGCAUCCACUUAUCCUUCGGGGACCCUACGUGCCUGAGCACAGGGGUCCUCGAGAUUAGCCGGGGUGACCGGGCGUGGGAGGGCGGGCGGAGCUGGGAACGCGUGGCAGUGUCCAGGGUGAGAGAGCCUCCCGACCCCUGGGCCAGGGGAGGGACUCGGAGAGAAGCUCCGUAGGAAGGAGAUGGACACAGAAUUGGAAGACUCGGGGGGGGGGGGCGGGGAGAUUUACCCCCUGUGGUAAGAGAGCAAAAACCCUGCCCAAAGUGCUGGUUCUCCAUUUCCCGUGGAAAUAAAUUCUAGCCUCCAGCAAGAUCUCCUCGCUCCUCAGUACAGCAAAGCCC
Capra hircus (goat) is the source of this 1550-nucleotide long non-coding RNA. Lineage: Eukaryota; Metazoa; Chordata; Mammalia; Artiodactyla; Bovidae. The record is from Ensembl.